GAUGAACGCUGGCGGCGUGCCUAACACAUGCAAGUCGAGCGGCAGCGAGGGGUGCUUGCACCCUGUCGGCGAGCGGCGGACGGCUGAGUAACGCGUGGGAACGUGCCCCAAAGUGAGGAAUAACUGCCCGAAAGGGUAGCUAAUACCGCAUAUUAUCUUCGGAUCAAAGGAUUUAUCCGCUUUGGGAGCGGCUCGCGUCGGAUUAGGUAGUUGGUGAGGUAAUGGCUCACCAAGCCGACGAUCCGUAGCUGGUCUGAGAGGAUGACCAGCCAGACUGGAACUGAGACACGGUCCAGACUCCUACGGGAGGCAGCAGUGAGGAAUCUUCCACAAUGGGCGAAAGCCUGAUGGAGCAACACCGCGUGCAGGACGAAGGCCUUCGGGUUGUAAACUGCUUUUAUAAGUGAGGAAUAUGACGGUAACUUAUGAAUAAGGAUCGGCUAACUACGUG
Molecule: ribosomal RNA, 451 nt
Filed under: uncultured bacterium
Lineage: Bacteria
Description: partial 16S ribosomal RNA
Rfam family: Bacterial small subunit ribosomal RNA
Source: RNAcentral